AGCAACACCAAUCCCGGGUUCACGCCUGCCUAGGAAGUGCGGUCCCCGCCUGACCGCCCCGGGCUUAAGGGAGCCUGGCUAGGCCGGCAGCUGGAGGGUCCCGCAGCUCGGGGCCGGCCAUGCUUCGGGGUCCGUGGCGCCAGCUUUGGCUCUUUCUCCUGCUGCUGCUCCCGGGCGCGCCUGAGCCCCGCGGCGCCUCCAGGCCGUGGGAGGGAACCGACGAGCCGAGCUCGGCCUGGGCCUGGCCGGGCUUCCAGCGCCUGCAGGAGCAGCUCAGGGCGGCCGGUGCCCUCUCCAAGCGGUACUGGACGCUCUUCAGCUGCCAGGUGUGGCCCGACGACUGUGACGAGGACGAGGAGGCAGCCGCGGGGCCCCUGGGCUGGCGCCUUCCUCUGUUGGGCCAGCGGUACCUGGAUCUCCUGACCACGUGGUACUGCAGCUUCAAAGACUGCUGCCCUAGAGGGGAUUGCAGAAUCUCCAACAACUUUACAGGCUUAGAGUGGGACCUGAAUGUGCGGCUGCAUGGCCAGCAUUUGGUCCAGCAGCUGGUCCUAAGAACAGUGAGGGGCUACUUAGAGACGCCCCAGCCAGAAAAGGCCCUUGCUCUGUCGUUCCACGGCUGGUCUGGCACAGGCAAGAACUUCGUGGCACGGAUGCUGGUGGAGAACCUGUAUCGGGACGGGCUGAUGAGUGACUGUGUCAGGAUGUUCAUCGCCACGUUCCACUUUCCUCACCCCAAAUAUGUGGACCUGUACAAGGAGCAGCUGAUGAGCCAGAUCCGGGAGACGCAGCAGCUAUGCCACCAGACCCUGUUCAUCUUCGAUGAAGCGGAGAAGCUGCACCCAGGGCUGCUGGAGGUCCUUGGGCCACACUUAGAACGCCGGGCCCCUGAGGGCCACAGGGCUGAGUCUCCAUGGACUAUCUUUCUGUUUCUCAGUAAUCUCAGGGGCGAUAUAAUCAAUGAGGUGGUCCUAAAGUUGCUCAAGGCUGGAUGGUCCCGGGAAGAAAUUACGAUGGAACACCUGGAGCCCCACCUCCAGGCGGAGAUUGUGGAGACCAUAGACAAUGGCUUUGGCCACAGCCGUCUUGUGAAGGAAAACCUGAUUGACUACUUCAUCCCCUUCCUGCCUUUGGAGUACCGUCACGUGAGGCUGUGUGCACGGGAUGCCUUCCUGAGCCAGGAGCUCCUGUAUAAAGAAGAGACACUGGAUGAAAUAGCCCAGAUGAUGGUGUAUGUGCCCAAGGAGGAACAACUCUUUUCUUCCCAGGGCUGCAAGUCUAUUUCCCAGAGGAUUAACUACUUCCUGUCAUGAAGGCUAGAGGAAGACUUCCUGGAACUGCUUUUCUUCUACUAACAGGACCCUGGGACCUGUAGGAGCACCCCAUUUGGGACUGUGAGGUGUUUGAGGGGGUGUGGACUGGCAUCCAGCAGCCACUAACACACAACUGGUGUGUAAAAGGCAGGCCUUACAUUAGAAGCCGAGCCAAUCCUUUUUCUUUUUUUUUUUUUUUUUUUUUUGGAGGUCCCACUGAGAUAGAUAGGAACUUGGAUUGCUGAAUUCAAAAACAGAGCCCAUUCUUAAGAUCACUUGGUGCCUUAAAGACACGCAUUCCGCCCUCUCCCUCCUUUCCACGGUCUCCCUCUCCUCUCCUUCCUUUCCACGGUCUCCCUCUGAUGCUGAGCUGAAGCUGGACUGUACUGCUGCCAUCUCGGCUCACUGCAACCUCCCUGCCUGAUUCUCCUGCCUCAGCCUGCCGAGUGCCUGCGAUUACACGCGCGCGCUGCCACGCCUGACUGGUUUUCGUAUUUUUUUGGUGGAGACGGGGUUUCGCUGUGUUGGCCGGGCUGGUCACCAGCUCCUAACCGUGAGUGAUCUGCCAGCCUCGGCCUCCCCAGGUGCCGGGAUUGCAGACGGAGUCUGGUUCACUCAGUGCUCAAUGGUGCCCAGGCUGGAGUGCAGUGGCGUGAUCUCAGCUCGCUACAACCUCCACCUCCCAGCCACCUGCCUUGGCCUCCCAAAGUGCCGAGAGUGCAGCCUCUGCCCGGCCGCCACCCUGUCUGGGAAGUGAGGAGCGUCUCUGCCUGGCCGCCCAUCGUCUGGGACGUGAGGAGCCCCUCUGCCUGGCUGCCCAGUCUGGAAAGUGAGGAGCGUCUCUGCCCGGCCGCCAUCCCAUCUAGGAAGUGAGGAGCGCCUCUUCCCGGCCGCCAUCCCAUCUAGGAAGUGAGGAGCGUCUCUGCCCGGUCGCCCAUCCUCUGAGAUGUGGGGAGCGCCUCUGCCCCGCCGCCUUGUCUGGGAUGUGAGGAGCGCCUCUGCCCGGCCGUGACCCCGUCUGGGAGGUGAGGAGACCCUCCGCCCGGCAGCCGCCCCAUCUGAGAAGUGAGGAGCCCCUCCGCCUGGCAGCCACCCCGUCCGGGAGGGAGGUGGGGGUCAGCCCCCCGUCCGGGAGGUGAGGGGCGCCUCUGCCCAGCCGCCCCUACUGGGAAGUGAGGAGCCCCUCUGCCCGGCCAGCUGCCCCGUCCGGGAGGGAGGUGGGGGGGUCAGCCCCCGACCCGGCCAGCCACCCCCUCCGGGAGGUGAGGGGCGCCUCUGCGCGGCCGCCCCUACUGGGAAGUGAGGAGCCCCUCUGCCCGGCCAGCUGCCCCGUCCGGGAGGGAGGUAGGGGGUCAGCCCCCCGCCCGGCCAGCCGCCACCCCGUCUGGGAGGUGUACCCAACAGCUCAUUGAGAACGGGCCAUGAUGACAAUGGCGGUUUUGUGGAAUAGAAAGGGGGAAAGGUGGGGAAAAGACUGAGAAAUCGGAUGGUUGCCCUGUCUGUGUAGAAAGAAAGAAGUAGACAUGGGAAACUUUUCAUUUUGUUCUGUACUAAGAAAAAUUCUUCUGCCUUGGGAUCCUGUUGAUCUGUGACCUUACCCCCAACCCUGUGCUCUCUGAAACAUGCGCUGUGUCCACUCAGGGUUAAAUGGAUUAAGGGCGGUGCAAGAUGUGCUUUGUUAAACAGAUGCUUGAAGGCAGCAUGCUCGUUAAGAGUCAUCACCACUCCCUAAUCUCAAGUACCCAGGGACACAAACACUGCCGAAGGCCGCAGGGUCCACUGUUGUCCUAUGACCCUGCCAAAUCCCCCUCUGCGAGAAACACCCAAGAAUGAUCAAUAAAAAUAAAUAAAAUAAAUAAAAAAGAUGCAUUCCAAAGUGGAAUGUGGUUGAAGAAAGCCAUGUGGGAGCUCAGCAAAUCCCAACGCUUAUGAUGACACUCCAGAUGGUCUCCUUAGCAUCUCAGCUCUUCUGCAAGGAAGAGCUUGGGUGUUUGUUAGGCCUCAGAGGCUGUAGGGUCCUUGGGUUACAGAGCCGGGGAGAACGAAGUUCUGUGACCCAGGGGUGGAGAAUACACUCUAGGUUUGCGGGCUGGUGGGCUUUCAAAUUGGUACUUACUUCCAGAGGAAAGCCACGCUGCUUCUGUUGUGAGCGAAUCAGCCAAGAGCCUGAGGCUGAAGGGAAAAGUACACAGAGGAAGAUAUUUUACAAAUCAGGUUUUUCAUUUCUAACAACCAGAUGGCCCCACCUGGACCUGCCAACCAGUUCUGUGGCCCCCACCUAGGAACUGACUCAGCAGAAGAGAACAGCUUCGAUUCCCCAUGAUUUUACUCACCAAAUUAUCCUUAAAAACUCUGAUCCCCAAGUUUUCUGAGACUGAUUUGAGUAAUAAUAAAACUCUGGUCUCCCGCA
RNA transcript from Gorilla gorilla gorilla (western lowland gorilla), 3723 nucleotides. It is a transcript of the gene named torsin family 3 member A, with no coding region annotated. NCBI's taxonomy places the organism in Eukaryota, Metazoa, Chordata, Mammalia, Primates, Hominidae. The transcript is spliced from 7 exons. The record is from RefSeq and is a predicted model, not a curated record.